RNAcentral lists this ribosomal RNA (253 nucleotides) under uncultured bacterium. Its description in RNAcentral is "partial 16S ribosomal RNA". It matches the Rfam family "Bacterial small subunit ribosomal RNA", at positions 524 to 776 of the family's 1533-position model. The record is from RNAcentral.
UACGGAGGGUGCAAGCGUUGUCCGGAUUUAUUGGGUUUAAAGGGUGCGUAGGCGGUCUUUUAAGUCAGUGGUGAAAGCCUCCAGCUCAACUGGAGAAAUGCCAUUGAUACUGGAAGACUUGUGUAUAGUUGAGGUAGGCGGAAUUGACAGUGUAGCGGUGAAAUGCAUAGAUAUUGUCAAGAACACCGAUUGCGAAGGCAGCUUACUAAACUAUAACUGACGCUGAGGCACGAAAGUGCGGGGAUCAAACAGG